CACAGAAGGCGGGGCCAGGGCCGCUGCCGGGUGCUGGAGGCGCCAUUGGAGCCGGCUUGGCUGGCGAGCCCCGCUGAGGAGCCGGAGGUUGGGCCGCAGUUACCGCCGCGUCCGCUCCCGGUUCCUGGCCCCUCAGCAGCAUGGCAUGCGGGGCGACGCUGAAGCGGCCCAUGGAGUUCGAGGCGGCGCUGCUGAGCCCCGGCUCCCCGAAGCGGCGGCGCUGCGCCCCUCUGCCCGGCCCCACUCCGGGCCUCAGGCCCCCGGACGCCGAGCCGCCGCCGCCACCGUUUCAGACGCAGACCCUACCGCAGAGUCUGCAGCAGCCCGCCCCGCCCGGCAGCGAGCGGCGCCUUCCAACACCGGAGCAAAUUUUUCAGAACAUAAAACAAGAAUAUAGUCGUUAUCAGAGGUGGAGACAUUUAGAAGUUGUUCUUAAUCAGAGUGAAGCUUGUGCUUCGGAAAGUCAACCUCACUCCUCAGCACUCACAGCACCUAGCUCUCCAGGUUCCUCAUGGAUGAAGAAGGACCAGCCCACCUUUACCCUCCGACAAGUUGGAAUAAUAUGUGAGCGUCUCUUAAAAGACUAUGAAGAUAAAAUUCGGGAGGAGUAUGAGCAAAUCCUCAAUACCAAACUAGCAGGGAGAGUUGCUGAGGAUAAGUAUGUACCGUCUUCUCACAGAACAAUAUGAAUCUUUUGUGAAAUUCACACAUGAUCAGAUUAUGCGACGGUAUGGGACAAGGCCAACAAGCUAUGUGUCCUGAAGCUUUGUCACAUAUCUGGGUACCAGGUUUGACCUCAAGAGAUGGCUGCUGUACACUUUUUGCAACUGGUUUGAUAUCACAUUUCAGCUCCAACUUUGCAUCCUGAGAACACUUAAACGUUUCUGCAGGUCCAUUUUAUACAACUUGAAAGACCGUAAAACUUUCUGGUUGCCACAAGCAUAUCUUUCUUUUCUGCUCAUCCAAUAAACAGCUGUGCCCUACUGUGAUAGAUUUUCCAAACAAAAAUACCUGGAGCAGCAGUUUAGCAAAAUAUGCCUUCAGUGGCACUCAACAAAUGGAGUUUCCCCAAGCACAGUUCUGUAAGAAGUGCGUGUGAGAGUGUGUGUAUAUGUGUGUAUGUGUAUUUUAAGUUAUUAUUUGUAUUGUGCAAAAAAAAUUUUUUUUAUCUUGGGGAUUCUGGCUGUGAAUUUGGUGCACGACAAUUAUGGUAAAAAAACAUUUGCUUGGUCUACAGGAGAUCAUUAAUGUUUUGUGACCAUAUAAGUUGUAACAGUGGAUUGUUUUUAUGUGUAGGUAUUGUUAAAUACAGGGACUGUUUCCAGGCACAGAACAUGAAUCGUAAGUUAGGAUGGACAUUAGAUGUGAUUAUGAUGAUAAAGCGAAGGUCUGCGGUCCUACAUCUACAGAUGCGUGGUGAGAAAUUAGAACAAACUGGAGAUGGGCCAUUGACACAUGGACUCUGCCUGGGCAUGUUAGGAAAAUACUUUGACUCCAAGCCUUAAAAUACUCACAUGGAGUCGGCGCUCACCUCAUUCACACAAUCAUAGAGCUCCCUGGACACUGAACCUCUAAAGGGAAAAGGUCUACCCUGGAGCAGGAGCAUCAGGGUUUGCUUGGGAGCAUAAGAGGUGAGCUCAGGGCUAGGCCUGGGCCAGGCCCCGGCAGCACUGCUACUUGGGAGGAGCCACUUCACCUUUGUAUUAGUUAUUAAAAAUAUAAUUUGGGCUGGACGCAGUGGCUCACGCCUAUAAUCCCAGCACUUUGGGAGUCGGAGGCAUGCGGAUCACUUGAGGUCAGGAGUGCGAGACCACCCUGGCCAAUACGGUGAAACCCCGUCUCUUCUAAAAAUACAACAAAAUAAGCCGGGCUUGGUGGCAGGCGCCUGUAAUCCCAGCUGCUUGGGAGGCUGAGGCAGGAGAAUCGCUUGAACCCUGGAGGUGGAGGUUGCAGUGAGCACAGAUCACGCCACUGCACUCCAGCCUGGGUGACAAAACGAGACUUCGUCUCAAAAAAAACCAUAGAAUUUGGAUCCUUUGGUCAGAUUCUCCCAAAUUCUUUUGAGGUGUCCAUGGUCAACUGCUUCAGCUUUGUUUUGGCAACCCCCUGCCCAAAGUCGCAUAUAGGCUGUUCUUCACCUUGUUUCCAAGGCUGAGGAACAGAAAGUAGCCUCUGUUUUGAGGAGGUGGAAGUUAAGUAUACAUUUAUUUUUUACUGUGACUUGUUCAGGACCACAUUUUACAAAAUGCCUUGUUUCCUUUAUUGUUUCUGGAAAGGAAAGUUCUAUUAAUAUUGUUUUACUUUGAAUAUAGAAUAGUUUUUUUAAUUAGGGCUUAUUUUGAAAAAUUCUGAGUUUAAUUCAAAUGUAUGCCAAUACCUUCCAAAGUAAGGUAAUAUUCAGAGACAGUUGUUCUGAUCAGAUGGCUUAGAGAAAUUUCUGGAAUAUUCACAUUCGAAGAUUCCUUAUUAAUGAAUGUCUUUGACUUAAAUCUAACCAAAAACUGCAACAUUAUUCUUUGUACAUUUUCAUUAUAUAGUGUUAACAAGCUUAGUUGCAAACAAAUAAAAUACUUAAGCUAUUUGUUUA
This is an RNA transcript of Rhinopithecus roxellana (golden snub-nosed monkey), 2587 nucleotides long. It is a transcript of the gene named akirin 1, with no coding region annotated. The record is from RefSeq and is a predicted model, not a curated record. The transcript is spliced from 5 exons. Lineage: Eukaryota; Metazoa; Chordata; Mammalia; Primates; Cercopithecidae.